UCGGGAAUUUUGGGCAAUGGGCGAAAGCCUGACCCAGCAACGCCGCGUGAAGGAUGAAGUAUUUCGGUAUGUAAACUUCGAAAGAAUAGGAAGAAUAAAUGACGGUACUAUUUAUAAGGUCCGGCUAACUACGUGCCAGCAGCCGCGGUAAUACGUAGGGACCAAGCGUUGUUCGGAUUUACUGGGCGUAAAGGGCGCGUAGGCGGCAUGACAAGUCACUUGUGAAAUCUCUGGGCUUAACCCAGAACGGCCAAGUGAUACUGUCGCGCUAGAGUGCAGAAGGGGCAAUCGGAAUUCUUGGUGUAGCGGUGAAAUGCGUAGAUAUCAAGAGGAACACCUGUGGCGAAGGCGGCCACCUGGUUGGAUACUGACGCUGAGACGCGAAAGCGUGGGGAGCAAACAGGAUUAGAUACCCGUGUAGUCCCUGAGCGGGCUGGCAAGGCGCAU
Molecule: ribosomal RNA, 447 nt
Filed under: uncultured bacterium
Lineage: Bacteria
Description: bacterial SSU rRNA
Rfam family: Bacterial small subunit ribosomal RNA
Source: RNAcentral